Molecule: ribosomal RNA, 253 nt
Filed under: uncultured bacterium
Lineage: Bacteria
Description: partial 16S ribosomal RNA
Rfam family: Bacterial small subunit ribosomal RNA
Source: RNAcentral
UACGUAGGGUGCGAGCGUUACUCGGAAUUACUGGGCGUAAAGCGCACGUAGGCGGCUUGGUAUGUCGGGUGUGAAAUCCCCGGGCUCAACCUGGGAACUGCAUCCGAAACUGCCUUGCUAGAGUAUGGGAGAGGGAAGUGGAAUUUCCGGUGUAGCGGUGAAAUGCGUAGAUAUCGGAAGGAACAUCAGUGGCGAAGGCGACUUCCUGGACCAAUACUGACGCUCAGGUGCGAAAGCGUGGGGAGCAAAAGGG